GAUAAAAUUAUUUCAUGUAAGCGCACUUUAUUGAACUCUUUUAAAAUACAAAGACUUGGGAAUUCGGACAAGUCUGUUCGAGAAGAUCUGACCCCUUAUUAUACGUUUCACAAAUGGUAUGACUUUACUUCGUUGUUUUUAGUUUUAUCAUGGUUUCAUUACAUUGGAUAUAUAUUAUGAUGGAGUAGUAUCUUCAAUUCUUGGUAUGACAUAUUUUUAGUUGACAGUGGUGAUCGCUGGCUAGUGACAUAUUUUAGUCACUAGAUGGGUUGAUUUAGAGAAGACAGACUACGAACCUUUAUUUUAGGAGUGAGUGAAGUAUAAAGUGAUUGAAAAUGUUACUACUAUAUUGUUAAUAAUUUCCAGGAUUAGCUGUUUAAAAGAGAAUUUAUUUAGCUUAACAGUUUCAGAUAUCUACUAACGUUCCAUCUUGAAGUCAUCUUCUGAAUAAACAUCUGAGAGCCAAGCCAUUUUGUGAAUCACUAUUGAAAAUAGUUGGUGGUAGACUGUUAAUAUUGGACAACUUUCUCCACCAAAUAUCAGACCAAAACUUAAUUCUGAACAGUGUAAAGGACACUUCAGCUGAAGUGAAGCAAUUGGAAGAUCAAGCAGUAUAAUGAAAGCUGCAAGAGUUGAGAUAUCAGCUGCGUCGAACAAAAUGAAGAAAGAGACAGUUGGAAGUGGAACAGAAGAUUGCUGAACGAAGGAAGAAAGUUGAAGCUGAGUUGCAAGAAGCUUUAAAAGAGAAAAAGAAAAUAAAAAUGAUGGAAAAUAUGUGUUCAUUAGUAGAGCGACUGUACAAAAUUUUUCUCUGUUAAAUCAUUUUCUUUUGUUGACAAAUUAUCAUUUGUCACUAGAAAAAACGCAAAAGGAUAAGUGGAUUGCCUCUUAUCGUGUUAGUACUUGGUAGGGCCUUUUAAUUAUAAACCUUUCAUCAUUUUGUGGUCUGCAUCAAUCUUUGGCAGCCCCCUCAUGAUUAAAAGAUGUCCAUUUACUUUAUAUAUAUUGAAAGUUACUCUUCUAUUUCAACACACACCAAAUUUGAUGGCCAAGAUCCUAAGAAAUAAGUCAAACUACGAGGAAAUCCCAUAUACCAUGUGUACUUUGUUUUACUUUUUAUUCUUUUUCAUAUGUGUUCUGCCAAAGAAGAGGCAUCUAAAUAAAGUUUUUACCUCUGUACUGAUUACCUUGAACUUCGUUUCUACAGAAGAAGAAGCAGCUAAGUUAAGGCAUUUCGUAGACGAGCCUGCUUUUACUGAUCUUCAUUGGGUAUUCACCAGGUUAUAGCAUGUUUCACUUUUGCAUAACAGACAACGAGCAUGAUUGGAGAAAGGGAUGAACAUUGUCUUGCAUCAGUAGACAAACAGAAGUAGUCUUGGCUGAUUUUUUCGGCUCAUCGGGUUAUGGCAUAGGAAGCUUUGCAAGGGUGUUACCUGAGUAUUCUUGUAAUUACACAGUAUUUUUUUCAAACGAAAACACGCUAUAACUUAAAGUGUUGGGCAAUCCCAUCUAGUACAAGAAAUAUAUUCAGCAAGCAAAAGAUUAGGUCAUGGCUUAGACGUUAUCAUGCAUGGCUAUCACCUAUCGGUUGCGCACCAAUAUUCUACACUUUCCAAGUUUUUGUUUCCCUUUAUAGAGAAGCUAGGUGUGUACAGCUCGAAAGGAUAUAUAACAAAAAAAGUGAUCUAGUGUAAUUUUGAAAGAAAAAAUAUCACUUCUUGUCUAUUACUCCU
Molecule: long non-coding RNA, 1733 nt
Organism: Nicotiana attenuata
Lineage: Eukaryota; Viridiplantae; Streptophyta; Magnoliopsida; Solanales; Solanaceae
Exons: 2
Source: RefSeq, a predicted model, not a curated record